This 158-nucleotide unclassified non-coding RNA is filed under the name soil metagenome. RNAcentral's name for it is "partial internal transcribed spacer 1". The record is from RNAcentral.
CAGGAUUCGCAAGACUCCUACAACCCUGUGAACCUACUAUACGAACGUUGCUUCGGCGGGUGCGCCCCGGGGAUUCGUUCCCGCGGCGCGUCAGCCCGCCGGCAGCCUACAAAUUCUGUUUCUUUGCGUUGGCAUCUCGAGAAAAACAAAAUAAGUUA